This 157-nucleotide non-coding RNA is filed under the name uncultured Faecalibacillus sp. Lineage: Bacteria; Bacillati; Bacillota; Erysipelotrichia; Erysipelotrichales; Coprobacillaceae. The record is from RNAcentral.
AGGUUUCAAUAUAUUUACACUAUCUUGAAUUAAGAAGGAAUCAGGUGAAAUACCUGAACGGUCCCGCCGCCGUAAUGUGGAGAAUAAGCAAAAGUCACUGGAAAACUGGGAAGACGCUUAAACAAUGAAACAGAGUCGGAAUACUUGCCUAUAUCUA